AUGGAUUCUCUAGAACAACUCAGAAAAUUUCAGGACAUAGUUUGCACAAGGUACCUCACAGACAACGCGACCCUGCAGACGCUAGAGCAAGCAGUUCCAGCAGCAUCAAGUAGACUAGUCGAUGCCAACCGCACGAAUGAAAUAGUAGCCACAACAGAACAAAGAGAAAGGAGAAAAGGUAAGAAAGAAGAAGAGGACGAAGAGGGGAAGAGAAGAACAAAAUCAAGGGACGAUGAACCCCAACAGCAGGAUGGCGUCAACAACCCCAAAAACAAGAAUGAACGCAACAAACAAAGCAACCUCACAACAGACAGUGCUACAACAACAACUACUCCAACACAAGCACAAGAUAUGAUCGACGUCAAAACCAGUGAAGAGGCUCAGCUGGAGAACAAUCAAGUCAGCAGUCCCGUCAACCAAAUGCAAGAGGCUGACCCACAAUCAACCGUUAGCAUAACAAACGACAAAGAAGAAGAAAACAACGAAGAGGAGGUAUCACAAUCACUGCAAGACCAAGAGACAACCAGUGUUGAAAUUGAACCCCAUAGUGAACCUCAAACAGACGAAGGAGUCACAGAACAGGAAGUUUGUGCACAAGAGAUUUCCAGUGCCACGACAUUGAAGAUAAUCAUCACGAGUACAAAGGAGAAAACCCAAGACAUCCAAGCCGAUGAGAAACUAUAG
Molecule: ribosomal RNA, 684 nt
Filed under: Triticum aestivum (bread wheat)
Lineage: Eukaryota; Viridiplantae; Streptophyta; Magnoliopsida; Poales; Poaceae
Description: partial small subunit ribosomal RNA
Source: RNAcentral